Molecule: ribosomal RNA, 494 nt
Filed under: uncultured bacterium
Lineage: Bacteria
Description: partial 16S ribosomal RNA
Rfam family: Bacterial small subunit ribosomal RNA
Source: RNAcentral
AUUGAACGCUGGCGGCAUGCUUUACACAUGCAAGUCGAACGGUAACAGGUUAAGCUGACGAGUGGCGAACGGGUGAGUAAUGCAUCGGAACGUGCCCGGUCGUGGGGGAUAACGCAGCGAAAGCUGCGCUAAUACCGCAUACGAUCUGAGGAUGAAAGCGGGGGACCGUAAGGCCUCGCGCGAUCGGAGCGGCCGAUGUCAGAUUAGGUAGUUGGUGGGGUAAAGGCUCACCAAGCCAACGAUCUGUAGCUGGUCUGCGAGGACGACCAGCCACACUGGAACUGAGACACGGCCCAGACUCCUACGGGAGGCAGCAGUGGGGAAUUUUGGACAAUGGGCGAAAGCCUGAUCCAGCAAUGCCGCGUGCAGGAAGAAGGCCUUCGGGUUGUAAACUGCUUUUGUACGGAGCGAAAAGGUCUCCUCUAAUACAGGGGGCUCAUGACGGUACCGUAAGAAUAAGCACCGGCUAACUACGUGCCAGCAGCCGCCAGUAA